Molecule: microRNA precursor, 159 nt
Filed under: Pelobates cultripes (western spadefoot toad)
Lineage: Eukaryota; Metazoa; Chordata; Amphibia; Anura; Pelobatidae
Source: RNAcentral
GCUGACACAUCCCGGCCAAUCUCCAGCAGACCCUCCCUCCCAGACCCUCCCACAUCCUGGACAGCAUCCAUGUUGAAGCUGCCUUCAACAUGGAUGCUGUCCAGGAAGUAGGAGGGUCUGGGAGGGAGGGUCUGCUGGAGAUUGGCCGGGAUGUGUCAG